UUUUCAUGAAUGAAAUAAAAAUCCAAUGAUGUUUUGAAUUUGAUGAACAUAUUUUGAAUUCUAGGACAUAUUUUAUAUCCAAAUUGCAUUCGUUAUAAUGAAGAGAAUCGUAAGAAAAAUUGUGAACAUUUUUAAUACGAUGUUUCUUAAUUCAAAGAACAAAUUUUGAAAUUAUUAAAUACUCAGCAAUUUAAAAAAUAUUCAAAUUUUGCAAAAUGUGCCACUAAUNCGCCUAUCGAUGUGUGAAUCGUCUGAUAGACGGAAAAGCACCCUUAAGCCUCGUAUUUGGGCCAGCCAUAGUGGGGCCGACGAUUUUUCAUCGCUACGAAUAUAUUUAUAAAUUUAAGUGAACUUUUUUAAUUAUAAAAUAAUACAGUAAAAAAACUAGAUAUUCAUGUAUUAGAAAAUAUCGAUUAUGUGUUCAAAAAAUUCUCAUCGUGCAUUUUUAAAAUGCUAAUCAUGUAUUUCAAGAAUUGUCAAUCGUCUAGUAUAAAUGGUCAUCACACGUUUACAAAUUUUUAUCUUGUAUUUUUAUAAUUAUAUAUCAUGAAUUUUUGAAAUAUUUUUCAUGUAUUGUAGAGAUUUGUUUGGUCUAUUAACUUAUUAAGAAUGUCAGCAUGUAUUUAAAUAAUAUUCAGUGUAUAUAAUAAAAGAACAUGUGUAAAAGACUUCCAUUCAUAAUUUAGAAUAAAAGGAAAAUAACCUUAGAGGAAACAAAAUAUAGAUAAAGUCAAAAAUCAAAACAGAAAACAUAAUAUGUUCCAAGAAAAGGGAAAACUAUCUAAAGACAAGAAAAAUAAAGGUAUACAAAGAGAAAACUAGAAAAGAAGAAAACAAAACACAAUGUAACAAAUAGUUAGUGAAUUGGGCCAUAAUAUACAUCGAGUAUGUGUGUACUCCACUAUUCAGGUGCUUCUGUUUCUCGCUUGUUGCAAGGGCAGCAUCUAUACAUUACCGAAAUCACUCGCUAGAGACCACCCCUUGCAAAGCUCCUUUUCUUAAAUUGGUGAUAAGUGGGGCACUAUAUGUGUGACACUUGUUGUAAUUUUGGAGUUUAUCCCUUGAACAGUGUGUUCAACUCAUGAACCAUUUUCAUUUUUUCAUUUUCCGUGUUGAGAUCUUCAAAAAUAGACGCCAUAUAAAUAUGUUCAGAUGAUUCUUAUUUUCUAAAAAAACAUAAAAGCAAAAAAAAAA
Molecule: long non-coding RNA, 1194 nt
Filed under: Hordeum vulgare
Lineage: Eukaryota; Viridiplantae; Streptophyta; Magnoliopsida; Poales; Poaceae
Description: long non-coding RNA (HVUL_LNC002842)
Source: RNAcentral